Non-coding RNA from Nicotiana tabacum (common tobacco), 1630 nucleotides. The record is from RefSeq and is a predicted model, not a curated record. Lineage: Eukaryota; Viridiplantae; Streptophyta; Magnoliopsida; Solanales; Solanaceae.
GCUAUACACUAUAAGGAGAUAUUACUCCUCUUCCAAUGUGGGACAAGACUACACUAUACAUAUCUAUAAACUAACAAAGACUACUGAUUGCCAAGGCAGGUUACAAGAUUAUUAAUGACAACCUAUCUUUACUAAUUUCAAAUAUUCAAUUGUUUUGGGUUUUUGUAACACAUUUGUUGGCCAACUAGCUUUCAGUUUCACAUUACUCCAAAUUUAGGUGCAUCAAUUGUAAAACUAGAAAAAAAGAGGAUCACAAAAUAGCAACAUAUGAUUUAAAAUAUUUUCCAUAGAUUAAAGUACAAGUGUUCUUAUAAUAGCAUGCAUGAUGCAUAUGUUCCAAACAAAUUUUCUAAUUUCAGAUAUAUGUUAGGAAAAUUAUGCGACCAUUAGCCAAACAAAAUGCUUGAAGUAGUAUUAUAGUAUUGUGUCUAUUUUCGAAGUUAUGAUGGUGUAACUAGAAAAUAUCUGUUACAUUUGGUUUAACAGAAUUUGGUUAGCAGUUGCAAUCUUGAAUCUUGACAGAAGGCUUUCUGCUAAAUUAAAAGAUUACCAUGUUCUUUCUAAUGUUAGAUGAAUUAUUAAACUUUAAUCUUUGUAGCAUUUGGUGGGUUGACUUGAUCAUCUUAUUGGUGGUUGUUACUAGGAUUUGUCUAUUUUCCCAUUCAGCAAAAGGAACACCAGCUGAAGUUUGCAAACUCCAAUAUGUUAUCUCUUAAAUCAUUUUUUUUUUUGUCUUUAAUGUUUAGCAAAUUUUCUCGCUUUGCAGGUCAGACAGAGAACUUUUGGGUCCCAAAUAUGAGCACUUUCCAAAAAUUUUGUCAGUUUUUGCAGAGGUUCUAUGUGCUGGAAAUGAUCUUGCUACUGAAGAAAUGAAAAACCGAAUGAUUAAUCCGUUGAGGAAUCUUCAGAAAACAGUACCAGCAGCCACCUGGGCAUCGGCGUGGUCAUUGCUAUUGCCUCAGCAGGAGAUGGAACUGGAAUCCAUUCUAUCACAUAAGGAAGAUGCUAACUUGUCAUCAGUGCAAUCAGGGGUAAAGUUAGGUGGACGCAAGGGGGUUAUAUUGAAUCGCCGUCAUCGAAAACUUAUAUUGCACAAAUAUGGUAAAAUAAUUCUCUUGACAAAAGGGAAGAUGCUUGUGAAGUGUCAAAGGUGGCUUAAAAAUUGCUUCAGGUUAUAGGUUCAAAUCCAACCAUGGCAUUCUCGAAAUUCUCUGAUAUUCUAACUCCGCCGCUGAGUGCAGUGAAGCUAUGAUUUCUGCAACUUUUGUGUCCAAAUAUUUGACCAGGAAGAUGAAGGUAUGAUGCAAUUUGCUAGCCAUUCGCUGUUUCCUUGAAUCUCAUUCAGUCAACCGGUGAAUAGAUGGUUCCUCUACAUCUGCUCUGAACUGAGUAUUUAUCCAAAUUCUGAAGCGGCUAUGUUAUGUGAAAGCUCUACCCCUUCCUCCAUUUUCAUCAAAGUUUCUAUAAGAUAGUUGAGCAAGAAAAUCAGUAAACAUGGUCAAGAACUAGACUUGUAUAGUUGUGAUCCCCUUUUAAGUUUUAAAAUCUUGUCAUUGUUUUCCUCAGAGAGAAUGAUCAAUUCACUUUUUACGUUCCAGUAUGUAUGAUUUAUUAGAAUCUUGUGCUUAAA